Non-coding RNA from Coffea arabica (coffee), 2714 nucleotides. NCBI's taxonomy places the organism in Eukaryota, Viridiplantae, Streptophyta, Magnoliopsida, Gentianales, Rubiaceae. The record is from RefSeq and is a predicted model, not a curated record.
UGAAAUGGUUUGGCAACGUACGCUGUCGUCUUGCACUCGUGGAAGGCGGCUCAAGGAGCCCUAACUUUAAUAGACGCCACCUCCGCCAGCCGGGCAACCCCCUGACCGAGGCUGCCCAAAACCCUAACUCUGUUCAAAGAAGCAGCUAUAGUCCAGGACUUGAAAACAGCGAGAGAUCAGAUGUCGUACGACGACGUAGAGAUUGAGGACAUGGAAUGGAACGAGGAGCUCCAGGCCUUCACGUAUCCCUGCCCCUGCGGAGACCUCUUCCAGAUCACCAGGGAAGAACUCCGUCUGGGCGAAGAGAUCGCUCGGUGCCCUAGCUGUUCUCUUUACAUCACCGUCAUCUAUAAUACGGAAGAUUUCGCCGAUUCCAAUCGCAAGAAUAAGAAUAUCGAACCUCCCAAGCGACAGCCGGUUGCCGUCGCUUGAAAAUCUCCCGGAGAGGGAAUUUUGAUUCCUUUUCUUUUUUUUCCCUAAGAUUUUUGUCAUUUUCCUAUUGGCCUAUAUAUAUGUAUUGUAGCUUGAUGGAGAGAAUUGGUUUUAUUGUCUGUUGAGUGUAUUUUUAUGGAUAUCAAUUGAAAUAGAAUUAUUUUCGAGUUUGUGAUUUUGGAAGUUUAGCAUGUUCAAUAUUGUGAUCAAGCCCUAUGAUUCUCAAUCUGCUGUACCUUUUUUAACAGGUUUCUUUCUACCCCUUUUUUCGAGCAAUCUACUGCAUUCUAAAAUGCUUGAUAUGAUCUCUACCUGAUUUCGAAUGAGGAAGACCAAUUCUGAUUCUUGAAUCAGGGUACAGAUGCAUUAACUAAGAAGAAGAAACCGAAUCGAUAAUCAUAGUCACAGGUGGGAACUGGGAAUAAAACUACCAUAGCAUCAUCCAACGAAAGAGGAGAGCAAAUUUUUUGAGGCUGUAACAUGCAAUCAAUUCCAUCUAUUCAAAUUCAGAUUGAACCCAUUUUUUGAGGUGGGAACUGGGAAUGAAACCACCAUAAUUGAACGAGUUUAAAUGGUCCAUGAAGGAGUCCAAAACUGACCUCUUGGACCCAACACCCACCCCACUCCUGGACCCAACACCUAGCCAACUGAACUGACCAUCAAAGGGACAUUCGAACCGGACGGCUGCUUCAUCAUUUUUAUCUCCCUAUCUAGCCGAGAACAAACGGUAACGGAGAAAAAAGAAUUGCUCGAAGACUGUUUCCGAGUCCAAGAAGAUGAUUCUGUGUACACGGUCCAAGUAAUGAACUUCACUGCAAAUCCUCAGAAGUUGCUGCCAGGUUUUGAGUUUCUUUUAGUCUUUAAUUUGCUAAUCAAUGGAUAAAUUUGUGUUCCUUGGAUUUUGAACAACAAAAAAGUUUGCUCUGAUAUCAGACUUUGCUAAUAUGUCAUUUUUGGACAAAAUUUUUUUGUUCCUGUGAUGCUUUAAUUUGCGCCAAAGAUACAAUAAGUUUUGUGCAAAUAAUUAUAGAAACAUGGAGAAAGAUGAAGAUUUAUUGGGAUUUUUCGAAAAAAACAGUGUAAAAACCACGCGCUCUACCAGGGGUUUUACAUUGACAAGGUGCUUUUUAAUUAGCACUACUAAUUAGUUAAUCUAUUCAUGGGCGAACUAGCAAUGCAUUUUACUAUGAAAACGCCUCACUGCCAAGCUUAAAGUUUUAGUUAUUCCACAUAUAUAUAUAGUUUUCGUGCCCUAUGCAUCAUUGUUAAAGAGCGCCAAUGAUUGUGAGAUUCUGAUGUGCUUCUUGGAGCUAUUGACUCGUAUGAUAGGAUGGAUAUGCCGCCUCUGACCUAUGUCUUCACAGUUGUGGGAUAUACGCAAAUCCACUUGAUUGAUCUUAUUCUUGGAGGGACAAACAAAAUUCCUUCUUUAGUUCUCUAGCUGAAAUAAUAGUAGCAGUUGUAGUUAUAAGUGUGGAGUGAUAUUAACUACUUGCACUAUUGCUUCUGUAUUUGUAGAGGUUCUGAAUAGCAGCUAAUCAAGUACUCAGUUUUCAGGCUCAUCUUCCAUCUGUCUAGCUGCAAAAUGGUUCCUUUGCUUUGAAUAUCUUGAUUUGUAGGCUAUACAUUUGGUUGAAGUGCUUUGAUUAUCCCAAAAGUCUCAACAGGAAUAAAGAGAUCGACUUAAAGGUGAAAUUUCAUAUGCAAGGAAAUUAUCUGGCCUCUAAGGCGGCUCAAGGAGCCCUAACUUUAAUAGACGCCACCUCCACCAGCCGGGCAACAACCUGAGUGAGGCUGCGCAAAACCCUAACUCUGUUCAGAGAAGCAGCUAUAGUCCAGAAAUGUUUUCAAAACCGGACCGGACCGGCCGGUUCGACUGGUCGAACCAUGAACCGGCCAUGUGUCCGGUCCGGUUCAUAGCUUGUAUUGAUUUUGUCCUAGAACCGGUCAAAACCAUAAAAAACCGUUCAAACCGUUAAAUUCGGAUUGAACCGUGAACCGCAGUUUUUAAAUUUUUCACAAUAUUGACUGAAUUUUGACCGAAAUUAAGAAUUAAACCUAGUCUUCUCUCAAGUCUUCAGUCUUCAAUCUUCACAAUUUUCUCAUCCGCCGCAUUUGCUCCAUAGCGCCGGGCUCCUUCCAAAUCCCCCAACUUCACAGCCGAUUCGAAGGUGUUGCUGGAGAUUUUUGUUGCUCCUAGUCUUCUCUCAAGUCUUCAGUCUUCAAUCUUCACAAUUUUCUCAUCCGCUGCAUUUGCUCCAUAGCGCCCGGCUCCUUCCAAA